UGAGUACAGUAAACGGAUGCGAUUUUGUUGGACUUAAUUUGUGUACUUGGAAACUGUCACAAAAUGUAUCUGAAUCGGAAGAAUUUACUGUUUUACCUCAUAAGAGACAGAUUGAAAAUCUUUGUUCAUACAGAGGAAAAUUCAAGAACUGUUACACGCCGAAAUUAUCAAAAUGUUCAGAUGACUUGAUGUAUGCAUCUACUUUUGCGACGACACUGAAAACAGUCAACUUUAUAUGCACGUCUGGUUUUUCAGAUAUGGUUUUACACGAUGAUUGUUGGAGAAAAUCAGAGGUACAGAAUAGAUCAAAUGCUUGUUAUAAGGACCAUGUUGAAACUGUCAAGAGCCAACUUGAACAUAUAUCUAUGUUAGAUGAUGCUUACACUGAUCUAGUUAAACAAGAAUGGUGCAAAAUACUUCUGGAUUCUUACCAGUGUAUGGAGAAGUCUGUGAGUGACUCUUGUGAACAGUCGUCUGUAGAUGUUGUGACGGAUAUGAUGAACACGGUUUUUGAACAGAUGAACUCAAUAAUGACAUGCCAAGAACCGGAUAGAUCUACAUCCCAAAAAGAAUUUAUCCGUUUCUGGGAAUCCCUCAUAGAAAAUGGAGCAAUGAAUACUUAUCAGGAAUGGUCAAUGGUUACGG
This is a long non-coding RNA of Mytilus californianus (California mussel), 645 nucleotides long. RefSeq lists it as uncharacterized. NCBI's taxonomy places the organism in Eukaryota, Metazoa, Mollusca, Bivalvia, Mytilida, Mytilidae. The record is from RefSeq and is a predicted model, not a curated record. The transcript is spliced from 5 exons.